UCAUGUUUUGAUAUAUUUUGA
This 21-nucleotide non-coding RNA is filed under the name Caenorhabditis elegans. The record is from RNAcentral. Lineage: Eukaryota; Metazoa; Nematoda; Chromadorea; Rhabditida; Rhabditidae.